Molecule: ribosomal RNA, 551 nt
Filed under: uncultured bacterium
Lineage: Bacteria
Description: bacterial SSU rRNA
Rfam family: Bacterial small subunit ribosomal RNA
Source: RNAcentral
AAUAGAUACCCGGGUAGUCCACGCCGUAAACGAUGAGUGCUAAGUGUUAGGGGGUUUCCGCCCCUUAGUGCUGCAGCUAACGCAUUAAGCACUCCGCCUGGGGAGUACGGUCGCAAGACUGAAACUCAAAGGAAUUGACGGGGGCCCGCACAAGCGGUGGAGCAUGUGGUUUAAUUCGAAGCAACGCGAAGAACCUUACCAGGUCUUGACAUCCCAUUGACCACUAUGGAGACAUAGUUUUCCCUUCGGGGACAACGGUGACAGGUGGUGCAUGGUUGUCGUCAGCUCGUGUCGUGAGAUGUUGGGUUAAGUCCCGCAACGAGCGCAACCCUUGUUCUUAGUUGCCAUCAUUUAGUUGGGCACUCUAAGGAGACUGCCGGUGACAAACCGGAGGAAGGUGGGGAUGACGUCAAAUCAUCAUGCCCCUUAUGACCUGGGCUACACACGUGCUACAAUGGACGGUACAAACGGUUGCCAACCCGCGAGGGGGAGCUAAUCCGAUAAAACCGUUCUCAGUUCGGAUUGUAGGCUGCAACUGCCUACAUGAAGCC